AGUAACGCGUGGGUAACCUGCCUCACACAGGGGGAUAACAGUUGGAAACGGCUGCUAAUACCGCAUAAGCGCACAGCAUCGCAUGAUGCCGUGUGAAAAACUCCGGUGGUAUGAGAUGGACCCGCGUCUGAUUAGCUGGUUGGUGAGGUAACGGCCCACCAAGGCGACGAUCAGUAGCCGACCUGAGAGGGUGACCGGCCACAUUGGGACUGAGACACGGCCCAA
Molecule: ribosomal RNA, 225 nt
Filed under: uncultured bacterium
Lineage: Bacteria
Description: partial 16S ribosomal RNA
Rfam family: Bacterial small subunit ribosomal RNA
Source: RNAcentral